Molecule: transfer RNA, 78 nt
Filed under: Methanopyri archaeon
Lineage: Archaea; Methanobacteriati; Methanobacteriota; Methanopyri
Also listed under: 1 other name
Description: tRNA-Pro
Rfam family: tRNA
About the family: Transfer RNA (tRNA) molecules are approximately 80 nucleotides in length. Their secondary structure includes four short double-helical elements and three loops (D, anti-codon, and T loops).
Source: RNAcentral
GGGGCCGUAGGGUAGCUUGGUCUAUCCUCCUACCUUGGGGUGGUAGUGACCUGAGUUCAAAUCUCGGCGGCCCCACCA